UGGGGAAUUUUGGACAAUGGGCGAAAGCCUGAUCCAGCAAUGCCGCGUGUGUGAAGAAGGCCUUCGGGUUGUAAAGCACUUUUGUCCGGAAAGAAAUGGCUCUGGUUAAUACCUGGGGUCGAUGACGGUACCGGAAGAAUAAGGACCGGCUAACUACGUGCCAGUAGCCGCGGUAACACGUAGGGUCCAAGCGUUAAUCGGAAUUACUGGGCGUAAAGCGUGCGCAGGCGGUUGUGCAAGGCCGAUGUGAAAUCCCCGAGCUUAACUUGAGAAUUGCAUUGGUGACUGCACGGUUAGAGUGUGUCAGAUGGAGGUAGAAUUCCACUUGUAGCAGUGAGAUGAGUAGUGAUGUGGAGGAAUACCGGUGGCGACGGCAGCCCCCUGGGAUAACACUGACGCUCAUGCACGAAAGGGUGGGGGGCAAACAGG
Molecule: ribosomal RNA, 429 nt
Filed under: Bacillota bacterium
Lineage: Bacteria; Bacillati; Bacillota
Description: Firmicutes bacterium partial 16S ribosomal RNA
Rfam family: Bacterial small subunit ribosomal RNA
Source: RNAcentral